Molecule: long non-coding RNA, 1659 nt
Organism: Protobothrops mucrosquamatus (brown spotted pit viper)
Lineage: Eukaryota; Metazoa; Chordata; Lepidosauria; Squamata; Viperidae
Exons: 2
Source: RefSeq, a predicted model, not a curated record
GGUAGCAGCGGAAGCGGGGAGCAAGUUCUCUGCCUCGCUUGGUGUUGAUGUAGGGUGCGAACGUAGCGGCCGCUAAAAGGACAGUUGUCCCCUUGGACGCAGAGAUGACGAGUGACAACCUCAAGGCGCAGCGGGCCGCCCUGUGGUCGCGUCGAUUCGCUCUGCUAUACGCGAUGGGAGUGUGGACGGUUAUUGGGUAUUUCGUUUCCCGGUCAGUGCGUUUCAGGGAGAUCCCACUGCAGGAGAAGAAGGAUCUGCCGCCGCCACCACCGCCACUCGAUGACAACGAAUAUUCCAGAAAUGUUUGACAAGAGCAGAAGAUCAAGACUGAAACUGGAUUCACAUUAACAGCAAAAACUAGUUCAUCUGUUUUUGUGCCAUAUUCUUCUCAUUUGCAUAAUCAAAUGCUGUCACUUUUUUAUAAUAAUACUGGGAAAGAAAAGUAAAUUAUAUUGAAAAAAAGAGAUUAUCACAGUGUCUAUAACUUAUUGAAGAGUUGCAUGAGAUCUGACUUUGAAAUAACAGUAAUUUGAAAAUAGUAUGUUCUGUCAGCCUAUUAUGAGACUUUAGCCCUGUUUCACCUUCAUGCAUUUGAAUAUAUUGUAUAUAAUUUUAUAUAUUUUCUUUUGCUUAUAAUUUAUUUUUAAUAUCUUUUCCUGAAAUUCUGCUAGCAUGUGUUUGAAAUCAUAAAGACUAAAUAUGAUUGAUUCCUUAUUUCCUCUUACAGAAACUAUAAAUAUUUUUCCCAUAGAGCUUAGUGUUUAUGAUAGCUAUCUUUGUUUUCAAGGAUAGACAAUUUCUGUAGCAUUUACCUCUGAUGUUGAAAUUGGGAAAAGAUGUUAGUUUCUGAAUAUAGUAGAAGUAACUUUUGAUCUUGCAGGUUUGAAAUCCUCCCGAUUGCCAGAUACACUUCAGGCUACACAUUGCUGAUUUCAUGACAAGGAAUACAUUUAACUUUUUUGAAGAAGAGUUUUAAAAGGUGUACAGUAUGUGAUAUUUUGGACUGUUUUUUUAAAACUAUGGUGGCAUAUUCCUUACCAUACAGAGUUUCGGGAAGGCUUGUUUUCUUCACCCCUACCUAUUUCAUUUUUCCACAUACUUGUAAUGCAGACAUGUCAAACUCGUGACGUCAUGUGACGUCGCGCAACGAAUUGGGACAGUUUUGCCAUUGCCGGCAAUGGGGUGGUCGCAGUUUCCACAUGACACAUCUGGCCUGCAGGCUGGCAGUUUGACACCCCUGUUGUAAUGGAACAUUUUAUAAAUGUUUUGUUUCUGAGUCUGAAUAAGACAAAGUGUAGUUCAACAAUGUUACAUAGGAAAUGUAGUUAAGAUACUCCACCUUAAUAUUUUGCACAAAGUCAUCUCUAACUGGUUUAGUAUGCUUAUACAAUGCACAAGGUGAUGUGAAGGUUAAUAUGUAAAAGCAUAAGAAAAAGCUGAAGCAAAUAUAUCUGGAAAAACUCUGAAGUUUGCCUAAUCAUGAUAGGUUUAUGAGUUCUAUUGCUACUCUGUGCCUUUGAGCAUUUGCUUGAUUGUUUGAUGGAAGCUGGCAUUUUUAGAAUUUGCAAACAACCUCAAGAUAAUGGUAUUCAAUGUAUUUUGGACCUCAAACAUUUUGUUUUAAACAAUGAUACAAGCAAAAUAGAAAUGUGAAACUGA